Molecule: ribosomal RNA, 265 nt
Filed under: uncultured archaeon
Lineage: Archaea
Description: partial 16S ribosomal RNA
Rfam family: Archaeal small subunit ribosomal RNA
Source: RNAcentral
AGACGUCUACAUUAGAUACCCCCGUAGUCCCAGCCGUAAACUAUGCGCGUUAGGUGUAUCGGUGACCACGAGUCACCGAGGUGCCGAAGGGAAACCGUGAAACGUGCCGCCUGGGAAGUACGGUCGCAAGGCUGAAACUUAAAGGAAUUGGCGGGAGAGCACCACAACGGGUGGAGCCUGCGGUUUAAUUGGACUCAACGCCGGGAAGCUCACCGGAUAAGACAGCGGAAUGAUUGCCGGGCUGAAGACUCUGCAUGACUAGCUG